RNAcentral lists this ribosomal RNA (253 nucleotides) under uncultured bacterium. Its description in RNAcentral is "partial 16S ribosomal RNA". It matches the Rfam family "Bacterial small subunit ribosomal RNA", at positions 524 to 776 of the family's 1533-position model. The record is from RNAcentral.
UACAGAGGGGGCAAGCGUUAUUCGGAAUUAUUGGGCGUAAAGGGCGCGCAGGCGGCUGGUCAAGUCCGAUGUGAAAUCUCCCGGCUUAACUGGGAAACUGCAUCGGAAACUGAUCGGCUUGAAGGUGGGAGAGGGUAGUGGAAUUCCCGGUGUAGUGGUGAAAUGCGUAGAUAUCGGGAGGAACACCAGUGGCGAAGGCGACUACCUGGCCCAUUCUUGACGCUGAGGCGCGAAAGCUAGGGGAGCGAACGGG